AAAACUUUCAACAACGGAUCUCUUGGUUCUGGCAUCGAUGAAGAACGCAGCGAAAUGCGAUAUGUAAUGUGAAUUGCAGAAUUCCGUGAAUCAUCGAAUCUUUGAACGCACAUUGCGCCCUUUGGUAUUCCGAAGGGCAUGCCUGUUCGAGCGUCAUUG
This 159-nucleotide ribosomal RNA is filed under the name Physcia dimidiata. RNAcentral describes it as "5.8S ribosomal RNA". It matches the Rfam family "5.8S ribosomal RNA". From Rfam's summary of the family: 5.8S ribosomal RNA (5.8S rRNA) is a component of the large subunit of the eukaryotic ribosome. It is transcribed by RNA polymerase I as part of the 45S precursor that also contains 18S and 28S rRNA. Functionally, it is thought that 5.8S rRNA may be involved in ribosome translocation. The record is from RNAcentral. Lineage: Eukaryota; Fungi; Ascomycota; Lecanoromycetes; Caliciales; Physciaceae.